CCUACGGGAGGCAGCAGUGGGGAAUAUUGCACAAUGGGGGAAACCCUGAUGCAGCAACGCCGCGUGAGUGAAGAAGUAUUUCGGUAUGUAAAGCUCUAUCAGCAGGGAAGAAAAUGACGGUAACUGAGUAAGAAGCCCCGGCAAACUACGUGCCAGCAGCCGCGGUAAUAAGUAGGGGGCAAGCGUUACCCGGAUUUACUGGGUGGAAAGGGAGCGUAGACGGCGAUGCAAGUCUGAAGUGAAAGCCCGGGGCUCAACCCCGGGACUGCUUUGGAAACUGUAUGGCUGGAGUGCUGGAGAGGCGAGCGGAAUUCCUAGUGUAGCGGUGAAAUGCGUAGAUAUUAGGAAGAACACCAGUGGCGAAGGCGGCUUGCUGGACAGUAACUGACGUUGAGGCUCGAAAGCGUGGGGAGCAAACAGGAUUAGAUACCCUAGUAGUC
Molecule: ribosomal RNA, 440 nt
Filed under: uncultured bacterium
Lineage: Bacteria
Description: partial 16S ribosomal RNA
Rfam family: Bacterial small subunit ribosomal RNA
Source: RNAcentral